Molecule: ribosomal RNA, 527 nt
Filed under: uncultured bacterium
Lineage: Bacteria
Description: bacterial SSU rRNA
Rfam family: Bacterial small subunit ribosomal RNA
Source: RNAcentral
AAUAGAUACCCGGGUAGUCCACGCUGUAAACGAUGAGUACUAGCUGUUGGAAGGCUAAGCCCUUUCAGUAGUGGAGCUAACGCAUUAAGUACUCCGCCUGGGGAAUACGGCCGCAAGGCUAAAACUCAAAGAAAUUGACGGGGGCCCGCACAAGCGGUGGAGCAUGUGGUUUAAUUCGAUGCAACGCGAAAAACCUUACCUACCCUUGACAUCCUUAGAAUUUUGCAGAGAUGCGAAAGUGCCUUCGGGAACUAAGAGACAGGUGCUGCAUGGCUGUCGUCAGCUCGUGUCGUGAGAUGUUGGGUUAAGUCCCGUAACGAGCGCAACCCUUGUGCCUAGUUGCCAUCAUUUAGUUGGGGACUCUAGGCAGACUGCCGGUGGCAAACCGGAGGAAGGUGGGGAUGACGUCAAGUCCUCAUGGCCCUUAUGGGUAGGGCUACACACGUGCUACAAUGGGCAGAACAAAGGGAAGCAAAGCCGAGAGGUGGAGCGGAUCUCAGAAAACUGUUCGUAGUCCGGAUAGGAGU